CCAGUUUUUGUCCGCCAUAAUUGAGGAUGUUAAAGACGUCAGGUCGCUGGGUGGUCAACUCCUGUCCUAUGAUGAGGCUGAGGCCGUGGAAGCCGUACUGGCUGCGAAGAGUCUGCCGUUGCUGCAGGCGGCUGUUUAAGACCUUCCCCACCAGUGACUCCGCCAAGGGCAAGCCCCCCAGAGGGAGGUUCUUUAAACGGAAACACCACGUUGAGCCUACUCCAGCACCACCUCCAACUCCCACAGGGGGCUCCCCGGCAGUAUCCAGAGUCACCAUCGAUGAGGAGGUGCCCCAGGUUGGGACUGGGGCUGACUCUUUGGGGAAGAUCUGACAAGUGGAGUGGAGAAAAUGGAAAGAGCUGAGGU
Hemicordylus capensis (graceful crag lizard) is the source of this 366-nucleotide long non-coding RNA. RefSeq lists it as uncharacterized. NCBI's taxonomy places the organism in Eukaryota, Metazoa, Chordata, Lepidosauria, Squamata, Cordylidae. The record is from RefSeq and is a predicted model, not a curated record. The transcript is spliced from 3 exons.